ACACCUGUUCCCAUCCCGAACACAGAAGUUAAGCUCAUUUGCGCCGACGAUACUUGGCGGGCAGCCGCCCGGGAAAAUAGGUCGUCGCCGGCU
RNAcentral lists this ribosomal RNA (93 nucleotides) under Eubacteriales Family XIII. Incertae Sedis bacterium. Lineage: Bacteria; Bacillati; Bacillota; Clostridia; Peptostreptococcales; Anaerovoracaceae. The record is from RNAcentral.